This 436-nucleotide ribosomal RNA is filed under the name Providencia sp. RNAcentral describes it as "bacterial SSU rRNA". Lineage: Bacteria; Pseudomonadati; Pseudomonadota; Gammaproteobacteria; Enterobacterales; Morganellaceae. The record is from RNAcentral.
GCAAGCCUGAAUGCAGCCAUGCCGCGUGUAUGAAGAAGGCCCUAGGGUUGUAAAGUACUUUCAGUCGGGAGGAAGGCGUUGAUGCUAAUAUCAUCAGCGAUUGACGUUACCGACAGAAGAAGCACCGGCUAACUCCGUGCCAGCAGCCGCGGUAAUACGGAGGGUGCAAGCGUUAAUCGGAAUUACUGGGCGUAAAGCGCACGCAGGCGGUUGAUUAAGUUAGAUGUGAAAUCCCCGGGCUUAACCUGGGAAUGGCAUCUAAGACUGGUCAGCUAGAGUCUUGUAGAGGGGGGUAGAAUUCCAUGUGUAGCGGUGAAAUGCGUAGAGAUGUGGAGGAAUACCGGUGGCGAAGGCGGCCCCCUGGACAAAGACUGACGCUUCAGGUGCGAAAGCCGGUUUKGGGRGCAAACAGGAUUAGAUACCCNGGUAGAUCAGA